RNAcentral lists this ribosomal RNA (937 nucleotides) under uncultured Bacillota bacterium. RNAcentral describes it as "bacterial SSU rRNA". It matches the Rfam family "Bacterial small subunit ribosomal RNA", at positions 51 to 974 of the family's 1533-position model. The record is from RNAcentral. Lineage: Bacteria; Bacillati; Bacillota.
UAUCAUGCAGUCGAGCGGACAGAUGGGAGCUUGCUCCCUGAAGUUAGCGGCGGACGGGUGAGUAACACGUGGGCAACCUGCCUGUAAGACUGGGAUAACUUCGGGAAACCGGAGCUAAUACCGGAUAAUUCUUUCCUCUUCAUGGAGGAAAGCUGAAAGACGGUUUCGGCUGUCACUUACAGAUGGGCCCGCGGCGCAUUAGCUAGUUGGUGAGGUAACGGCUCACCAAGGCAACGAUGCGUAGCCGACCUGAGAGGGUGAUCGGCCACACUGGGACUGAGACACGGCCCAGACUCCUACGGGAGGCAGCAGUAGGGAAUCUUCCGCAAUGGACGAAAGUCUGACGGAGCAACGCCGCGUGAGUGAUGAAGGUUUUCGGAUCGUAAAACUCUGUUGUCAGGGAAGAACAAGUACCGGAGUAACUGCCGGUACCUUGACGGUACCUGGCCAGAAAGCCACGGCUAACUACGUGCCAGCAGCCGCGGUAAUACGUAGGUGGCAAGCGUUGUCCGGAAUUAUUGGGCGUAAAGCGCGCGCAGGCGGUUCCUUAAGUCUGAUGUGAAAGCCCACGGCUCAACCGUGGAGGGUCAUUGGAAACUGGGGAACUUGAGUGCAGAAGAGAAGAGCGGAAUUCCACGUGUAGCGGUGAAAUGCGUAGAGAUGUGGAGGAACACCAGUGGCGAAGGCGGCUCUUUGGUCUGUAACUGACGCUGAGGCGCGAAAGCGUGGGGAGCGAACAGGAUUAGAUACCCUGGUAGUCCACGCCGUAAACGAUGAGUGCUAAGUGUUAGAGGGUUUCCGCCCUUUAGUGCUGCAGCUANCGCAUUAAGCACUCCGCCUGGGGAGUACGGCCCCAAGGCUNAAAACUCAANGAAUUGACGGGGGCCCNCCCAAGCGGGGGAGCAUGUGNUUUAUUCNAAGCACCCGAAAACCUUAC